This 5509-nucleotide long non-coding RNA is filed under the name Zea mays. Its description in RNAcentral is "long non-coding RNA (ZMAY_LNC001803)". Lineage: Eukaryota; Viridiplantae; Streptophyta; Magnoliopsida; Poales; Poaceae. The record is from RNAcentral.
CAGUGAUUUGGUGGCAUCCUCGGCAUAGUCAACAAGGACUUUAAGCAAAGCCUUCAUGUUUUCUCCCGUCGAGGAUGCCAUGAUGAUAGGUGCUGCAAACAGUUAAUAUAUGAAGUAACAACUGCAUACACGGUACAAAACAUAUAGUCACAUCGACUUGAAAACUGUAAGCUUAGAACAUAAUUACUGUAACACCCCCGGUGUUACUGUAACUAAAACUUGAGCAUAACAUCAUAAGCAUUGGCAUUGCAUAUGGUUGACACACUUAGAGUGCAUUCACUAGGCAAAAAUUUCUAACAAGUUGUACUGUUUUGGUGUUUUGCAAAUAGAACCCUAGAAUGAGGGACUUAACCCUAAAUAGGGACCAGGAGGGUAAAACAUAACCCAAAUUGAGAAAACCUAAAAGCUUUAGGGGAAUAGUCAUAAAAUGUUCCCAAGAAUGAACUUGAAUCACAUUCAUACCCCUGGAUACCAAAAAUCCUAAUUGGAACCCUGAAAACCCCUAAAUCUAAACCCUAGGGGCCUAUGUGUAAAAACAUUGCACAUUUGGACUAAAGUGUAAAAACUACAAUGUUAAAGCAUAUAAAGUCAUUUGGUUCACAAAUGUGUGGACUUGUAAGCCAAAUAUUGGAUUUUGGACUUAAUUGCAAAAUGGACCUCAAUUGAGUUCUAUACUAAGUCUGAAAUUCAGUGUUGAGGGCUCAACUUUGGAGCUUUGCAUCUUUCAAAUUCUAGGGUUUUUGCCCUAGGUCACCACAUCAAAAUUGUAGCUCAAUCAUAGGAGAACAACUUUGCUUAAGAGUGUAAGCAUAGUUGUUAAGAAGAUAUUGGAGAUAAUUAAGCCUAAAGUCUGGCUGUCAGGCUGGUUCCACUCUGAAAUUCAGACUUUCAGUGUAACAGAGCCAUCUUUGGGUUUGAAUUCAACCUUGAUCUAGUGCUCAAAUGAGUUCAAUCCUUAUAGUCGAAGUAUUUCUGGUUUGUAGCUCUACAAUUUUGCUGCAGAGCAUGGAGUAUGUUACCAUAUAGAUUUGUGAGAAAAUCGAGCCUAAAUGUUGACUGUCAGGCGCUCUGAAUAAGUGCUCGCCAUGGUACAGUGACUGAAACGGAUCAGAACGCCAGCGCGGCUGUCCUCACCGCCGACGGCUCCCUCCGCCGUGAUUCGUGUCACCGGCGUCGGGAUUAGUGCCAGGGUGGAUGGAUAGCGCUGCGGGGUAAAAGAAUCUUCGCCGCCGGUGAGCUGGACUCCACUCCGGCUAGCCGCGAUACCUCUCCCCUUUCUCACCGCCCUCGGAUUGGAAUCUCAUCGCUGUCGUGCCAUCUUCGUUGUCCGUCGCGUGUCUCUGGCUAUCUACCGCAUCACGGUGACUCACCCUUGCUCUCCGUUGAUCGCCGGAGCAAUUGCCACGGCACUGGACACCUAGCUGUUGCGCCAGUGCUCUUCUUCUUUCUCUGGCCGCCGCGCGUCUCGCUCGAUUCACCGGCCACCGCUUGCGAGCGCUAUAAAUUGAGCCCGCGGCUAGCUUCGCAACAUCAUCACGCACCACCACACCCAGUAUUGCUCCCAAUCGUUCACCAAAGAGCACUAAUUUCAAACUUCCCCCAAAACUGUUUUCUGCCACCGCGAAGAGUGCCUCACCGCGGCCAGCGCAAUUCGAGUCAGCUCACGCCUUCUGCUCCCUCAAUUGAGUAUUCUCAGGUACCCGUGAUGCUCCUCGACCUAUCCAAUUGCAUUAUACCGCCAUGAAUCGCUUGGAACAUGUUGUUCCUUUAAGUUUCUCCGCUGUCACCAUAGGCAGAGGGGUGUAGAGCUUCAAUUCAAAAAUUGAGUGAGGGGAAAUACUUCUUUGGGGUAGAAUCAGGGGUAAACCGAAGACUAGCGCCAGUCUUGGCCCCCUCCGGCCGGUCUAGCUCGCCGGAGAUUGGAUUUCCUGUGUGGAGCGCCGUCGAGGACGUGUCGUGUAAAGGAAUAGAAGACCGAGGGCUUCUCUGCAAUUUGUCAGCGACACAAAGAAACAGUAAUAGAACCCAGUUAUAGUUAGCCAAAACCCCGAGGCCCUUUCUGCAAAACCUCCCUCGCGGGCGCGCGCAGCACGUUUUAGCGUGGACUUGGGCUGCCUGGGCUGAAACCGGCCCAGAACUGUUGCUGGCUUUUUCCUUUUCUUUUUCUUCCAGAGCCAAAUAAAUUGUAGGAAAUUGUAGAAAAAUCCUAAAAUUGUCAAACCAAUUUUCCUAGACUUCUUAUUUUCCAUAGAAUUUAAUAAAAUAGUUUACUGAUUUUUAGAUUAACUAAGGAAUUUUGGAGUAUUUAAGUAGCCUAAAGCAUUGCUUCUGGAUUUUUAGAAAAUAGAUGAUAAUUCCAUAAAUACCCAAAUUUUUAUAUGAGCUCUACACAUUAUAGAAGCCUUGGGUAGAGUUUGGUUUGAUUUGGACCUUGUUUGAUACUUAGAACCAAAACCCUACCCCCUGCCCUUUGAACUCAUUUACUAACUCCGGAAACCCUAAGUUCUCGGAGUUCCGUGAAGAAAAGUUGUAUUCAAGACAUUAGAUAAUAAAUCCUUAUUAUCUUUCCACUCUCAUGAGCAUUACAUGGCAUUCAUUCUUAUAUAUACCUAUAUGGUUAUAUUUAGAAAACGAAGAAGAAGUCGAAGUAACUGAAGAGAAGACACCACCACCUUCGGAAUCUCAGGCCGGAAAUUGUUUCUACUUUGAUAUUUGUGGAUCCGAGCCUGACUCACCUAUCAACGAAGGCAAGCCCCAGUGCAUUUGUCACCCUCCUUGAUGUUUUAAAAUCUUUCUCACUUGCUUGAUGCAUUAGGUGAUAAGAGUUGAUUGAUAAAACAAUUCCUGCAUUACCUUCCUUGAAUUUGAUUACCUUCCUUGAUCACCCGUUUUACAAAAGAUUUUGAUGCUUAGCCUUGCUUUAGAAAAACAAAAUGUUUUGUUUUUACAAAAGAUGAUAUGGCAAAAGUGGGUGGGAUGUUUUCGAAAAUAAAACUUGAUGGUGGAUCCAUCAGGGCCAUGAUGGGUUCAACAUCGGAAAAGAUGUACCUCUGCCAGGUACCAAACUUUGGGUUUGAAAUGAUUAAGCUGAGACGAGGCGGGUGACUUGCACGAGAAAGGAGUCUCAGUGUAGUGUAUCCGUCUGAGUCGAUUAAGGACCGUGUCGAUGUAGGCUUGCUGACCGAGGACCCUUUAACUGGUCACAUGCCUCGUCAUGGGUAAGCCUUGCCUUAGGCAGACUAAGGCCAGAAUAAGAUAACACAGAAUGGGCGUGGAGCGGUGGCGAGAGUAGCGUGUACCCUCCGUGGCAAGAGGCUGGACGGUGGUGUUUCUGUGCUCUCGGUUCGCGUGAACCUGAUCUGGUCUUAAGAACCCCGGUGGCGGGUUGACAUAUGCAAGGGUUAAGUGCUACAUAUGUCGUGUGAUUGGAGAUCCUCAGCUGAGUAUAAUCGAUUCGGAUCGUCGUACCUUCGCGGUCAUGAAGACUUGGUCACUGCCCUAUACGUAGAACUCCACUAAAGAUAAAGGGAUUGAUGAGAAAUUGGCUAGUGCAGGUCAAGUGAUUGAACUAGGGUAGAAAGAACUCUAGUCGCAGGUAAUUUUACUUAACUUAACAAAUAAAACUGGAUUUUUAAGGAUCCACUUUAGUAAGCAUUUCUGCAAAACAGAGUCUUUGAUCAUUGAGAAACCUUACCUUGACUCCCUGAUAACCAGCAUACCCUUGAGAGUCUUUUCUUUAGUCGGGUAAGACUUGCUGAGUAAUUCCAUACUCAGGGUUUUAUUCCCCGUUGUUUUUAGGUGAGGAAGCGACAAAUUUUUGUUGUUUUUGCUCUAAGGUGGUGCCAAAAGAAGAACGCAAGGAAUGAAGUGCGCGAGGAAAGGAUCCUCCAUUUAGGACUUUUGUGUAAAAACUUAUCGGGAGGAGUUUUUGCCUCCCUUGGUAUGUGUAAUAAUAUUACUCUGCACUCCUAGGAUAUAAUCUGGUCUGUACAUAUUCAACUUGAUCUUACUUUAAAAUAAAGGUAAGUUUAUGUAAUCGCUUCCGCAUUCUCGUAACUCUGAUGCUUGUAAUGUCUGCGUGACGAGUGAAACGCUCUUGGGAAAGGUGAGAAAAGCAGAUACCGAACUUGUCAAGUGAUUCAGGAGCACCUACAGGGUUGUCUGAAAUCCGUUGGAAAAGGACAACUGUAGGUGGGCCUAAUUACUUGGGAGGUUCCGUCACAAUUACGAUAAGAGUCAGAAAUAAAAUGUGGGUCCUUAAGUACUAGUACUACAAAUUAUAACUAUGAUGAAUGGAGACCUGGAUUGAAUAAUGGCCUUAAUCCCCCAAAACAAUAGUAAGUGCACUCUUUAUAGAGCAGUAACCAUAUCACUAUACCCUUCAAAACUAUCUUGCACUUCAUGAAAGCAUGGUUUUAUGGUACGGGAUGACAGUAAUCACCAACUUUAUUAUACGUAAGACAUGAUGAAGUUAUGUAUCUUGUAAAGUAUGUGAAAUAUGUGUAAAUGCAAUUGAGUAUAAUGUAACCAAAACUGGGAUUGGUUAUGAAAAAGUAGACUAAUUUGUAUAAAAAACAUUGUUGCUAGGGACAUAUACUAUUGAUGGAACCGGGACUCAUUGUUGAGAUUACUAUGAGCAUUGUAUGUCAUCAGUGUAAAACAAAAAUAAAAUGACAAGAUAAAAACAAACAUUAAUGUAUACAAGGGCAUGAAGAUGUCAUGCGCUUAACAUGAUGUAUUAAUUAAGUAUAUGAAAGAGGAAAUACAUAUGUACCAUUAAUUUUUACAAUAGCAUCAGAAGACCAGACUAUCAAAAGCAAUUCAAGUUCCCCUAAACCGCAACCUUCUUGGUGUAACAGAACAUUAGGCACAAUAAUAAAACAUGUAUGCAUGAUGUGAUAUGUAGUGCAAAAAUUAAUUUAUGAACUCUAGAUGUACCUAGGACUUGGCAGACAUUAUGUAUAAGGUUUACGGCUUAACCUUGGAUUUGAGCACAUGUAUGUGUAAUAAGCAAAUCAAAGGUUCUAUGAAUGUGUUGCAUGACCCUAAACCCUAAAGGAAAAAUAAUCCCAAACUAGACAUACUGCCAGGAGUAGGAAAUAUGGAAUGGACUAGUACCAUGUGCAAGCCAUUAGACACAUAUCUGGAUGAUGACAAUGUUGGUGAUAAUGUUUAACGGUUGACUGCAAAAUCGGGUUCUUUAACCAGAUCCAUCUUUAGACAAGUACUGAUGCAAGUGUUCCAAAUGGAUCCUUAAUGAAUUAUUGGGCUUAACUACAAAACUAAGAACGAACAAAAUCCUAAAUCAAAUGAACACGGAUUAACCUGGGAGCCAGAUUGAGAUGUGCUUCGUACCUGAGGAAGGCAAGAUCUACGGUCCAAGAGUGAGCAGUGAAGGGGAGAAAUCCGGAUCUGAGGAUGUCGUCGACGGUCGGAGUGGAGGGAGACGGAUGCGGCGACGAAGAAUAGCCUCGACGGAGUUGGAUAUGUCGGUGCUUGCUCCUCCUCC